AGUUUGAUCCUGGCUCAGGACGAACGCUGGCGGCGUGCUUAACACAUGCAAGUCGAACGAUGAAGCCCAGCUUGCUGGGUGGAUUAGUGGCGAACGGGUGAGUAACACGUGAGUAACCUGCCCUGGACUCUGGGAUAACCCCGAGAAAUCGGAGCUAAUACCGGAUAGGACCUUUCCCCGCAUGGGGUUGGGUGGAAAGUUUUUCGGUUUGGGAUGGACUCGCGGCCUAUCAGCUUGUUGGUGAGGUAAUGGCUCACCAAGGCGUCGACGGGUAGCCGGCCUGAGAGGGUGACCGGCCACACUGGGACUGAGACACGGCCCAGACUCCUACGGGAGGCAGCAGUGGGGAAUAUUGCACAAUGGGCGCAAGCCUGAUGCAGCAACGCCGCGCGCGGGAUGACGGCCUUCGGGUUGUAAACCGCUUUUAGUAAGGAAGAAGGGGCUUCGGCCUUGACGGUACUUGCAGAAAAAGGACCGGCUAACUACGUGCCAGCAGCCGCGGUAAUACGUAGGGUCCGAGCGUUGUCCGGAAUUAUUGGGCGUAAAGAGCUCGUAGGCGGUUUGUCGCGUCUGCUGUGAAAUCCCGAGGCUCAACCUCGGGCCUGCAGUGGGUACGGGCAGACUUGAGUGGUGUAGGGGAGACUGGAAUUCCUGGUGUAGCGGUGGAAUGCGCAGAUAUCAGGAGGAACACCGAUGGCGAAGGCAGGUCUCUGGGCACUUACUGACGCUGAGGAGCGAAAGCGUGGGGAGCGAACAGGAUUAGAUACCCUGGUAGUCCACGCCGUAAACGUUGGGCGCUAGAUGUGGGGACCUUUCCACGGUUUCCGUGUCGUAGCUAACGCAUUAAGCGCCCCGCCUGGGGAGUACGGCCGCAAGGCUAAAACUCAAAGGAAUUGACG
This 899-nucleotide ribosomal RNA is filed under the name uncultured bacterium. RNAcentral describes it as "bacterial SSU rRNA". It matches the Rfam family "Bacterial small subunit ribosomal RNA", at positions 10 to 915 of the family's 1533-position model. The record is from RNAcentral.